GAGGUAAGUUGCAUGACAAGCCUAUUCUUCGGUGUUAUUUGAUAAAAUCUCUUAAACUAUUUAAAAAAAAAAAAAAGACAAAAAAUAAUGAAAAGAUAACAAAAGAAAACGAUACAAUGACCAUCGGCCCCACCAACCCCGUAUUAAGACACAAAAAAGAUGGCGCGAUCACAGGCAUGAGAAAACAACCCACGGUACCCAUAUCUAUUUCCUAGGAAAAAAUCAGGCUGACGUGAGUGGGACCCAUUGCCUGAAAGCGCGGCCAAAGGUCGGAACAAAGUAAAAGCCCAACUCCUCCUCGUUGUGGCCCUUUUCGUACAGUCGCUUAUUUUGUCACCAAACAUUCUCCUGCAACCCGGUUGUUGGAGAUGGGAGAGGCGACCCCGCCCCUCCGUUUCCGUGCGUUUUAGGGCUCAGGCGGAAUAUCCUUUGUGCACGUAACAAUGACGGGUGCUCCAUAUGUGUUGUUGAGAGCAGAGGAGGAGGAGCUUAGGAGCCAUGAGCAGCAGUCUCACUCUAUCCCUCCUUCUCAACCUCGGCUCGCAUCUCUUGAUGUAUUCCGUGGCUUCACAGUCGCUUUGAUGAUCUUUGUUGAUUAUGCUGGUUCAAUAAUUCCUUUUGUGGCUCAUGCUCCUUGGGAUGGUCUAAGGCUGGCCGAUUUUGUUAUGCCCUUUUUCCUCUUGAUUGCUGGAAUUUCUAUUGGACUCGUCUACAAGAGAGUAUCACACAAAAUUAUUGCAACUCGUAAGGCAACGUGGAGGGCAUUAAAACUCUUCUUUCUAGGUAUUAUUAUACAAGGUGGGUAUUUCCAUGGUAUAAAUCAUUUCACAUUUGGUGUUGACAUUCAUUAGAUAUGUUGGCUUGGUAUCCUUCAGGAUCCAAGGACGAGGACGACAAGUGGCUUGGUAUGAGUCAGAUGGCCUAUAUUAUUUCAAUUUAACUUGGUGAAUUGUUCUGUCCGAGGUGAUCUUGGACCGGCUUGCAAUUCUGCUGGAAUGAUUGAUCAUUAUAUUCUUGGUAUUGAACAUUUGUAUAAGAAGCCCCUUUACAGAAACUUGAAGGUUGGUUCUUUCUGGAUAUAUGGACCACAUGGACAAUGUUGAUGUACUUGUGUUAGCAAAAUUUUCUCUCCCUCUUUCAGGAGUGUCAGAGUUUGAAUGACCACCAUGUGGAAAAUAUACCUUCCUGGUGUUUAGCCCCAUUUGAACCUGAAGACAUUUUAAGCAUGCUUCUGAUACGAUAUGUGUGCAUGGCAACAUGCUACUGAUGAGAUCCUAUGUGAUAUGUGCGGAUGGGCACAUGCUGUGUGAUAUGAUGGGCUGAGCACCUACUGUGUGAUUGAUGGUGCCAGCAGCUGAGAUCUAGGCAUCUACUAUGUGAAUGAUGGUGCCGACAGAUGAGAUCUUUCCCCGACUCUCUGUGAUAGGAUGAGAAUUAAGAUGUGAGUGUUUGAGAGGGUCGCGCCCCCCCAAAAUUAUGUGUGAGGUACUAUCCAUUGGACCCCUUUGGUAGUGUAAUGCCCUCCAGCCAGAAGGGCAAGGAGAGGGUCGUGUCGUGUAAGGCCUCCGCCUAUCAAAAGCCCCAAAGUGCGUUGGGAACUAUGUGCGUGUGUGAGGUACUACGCAACGGGUUUACCUGUUGGUGGUGCUUCUUCCUAUGGGAUAGUAGAAGUUCUAACUUUGGACCGAAGUCUGGGACCUGAGAUUGGUGCUUCUACUGCAGGACUUUUGUUGUUGUGAAUGCCUACUGCAGAACUUCAAUUGUUGUGAAUGCCUAUUGCAGAACUUUUGUUGUUGUGAAUGCAUACUGCAGGACUUCUGUUGUUGGGAAUGCUUACUGCAGAACUUCUGUUGUUGUGAUUGCUUGAUCGCAGGACUUCUGUUGUUGUGAAUGCUUACUGCAGGAUUCUGUGGCUGUGAAUGCUUGGUUGAUUAUAUCUGAUACUUAAUGUUGAUAUUAACAUGAA
Molecule: non-coding RNA, 1966 nt
Organism: Amborella trichopoda
Lineage: Eukaryota; Viridiplantae; Streptophyta; Magnoliopsida; Amborellales; Amborellaceae
Source: RefSeq, a predicted model, not a curated record